This is a non-coding RNA of Mycena albidolilacea, 112 nucleotides long. The record is from the annotation of a GenBank genome assembly. NCBI's taxonomy places the organism in Eukaryota, Fungi, Basidiomycota, Agaricomycetes, Agaricales, Mycenaceae.
GGGCGUAUGGUGUAGUUGGUUAUCACGUUCGCUUAGCAUUUCUCUGAUUUCUUUGAACGAGAAUCGGUGGUGCCCCUGCGAAAGGUGUCCGGUUCAAUUCCGGAUUCGUCCA